GACGUAGGGCGCGAGCGUUGUCCGGAUUUAUUGGGCGUAAAGAGCUCGUAGGCGGCUUGUCGCGUCGUCCGUGAAAACCUGGGGCUCAACUCCAGGCUUGCGGUCGAUACGGGCAGGCUCGAGUUCGGUAGGGGAGACUGGAAUUCCUGGUGUAGCGGUGAAAUGCGCAGAUAUCAGGAGGAACACCGGUGGCGAAGGCGGGUCUCUGGGCCGAAAUUGACGCUGAGGAGCGA
RNAcentral lists this ribosomal RNA (233 nucleotides) under uncultured bacterium. RNAcentral's name for it is "partial 16S ribosomal RNA". It matches the Rfam family "Bacterial small subunit ribosomal RNA", at positions 524 to 756 of the family's 1533-position model. The record is from RNAcentral.